UUGAUUCCCCUCACUGAGUAUUC
RNAcentral lists this non-coding RNA (23 nucleotides) under Arabidopsis thaliana (thale cress). The record is from RNAcentral. Lineage: Eukaryota; Viridiplantae; Streptophyta; Magnoliopsida; Brassicales; Brassicaceae.